AUUAAGUUAUCAGAAUAUGGUAGUUGAAAAAUAAAUCUACCUUUAUUGGUUUAAUUCAGAGAUCUAAAGUUAAGGUGUAACAAUAGAAUACAACUCACUAAUUUUAGUGUGCUUACCACCUUCAUCAACAUGCUUUGACUUGGAACUUAAAAGUUUCAACCUUUUUUGGGUUAAAAAUUUCAAUUACUUUAGCGAUUCCUGAUUCUUGCACUUUUUGUUCACAUGAUUUUUACAUUUUUGUUUUACGUUCUAUAUAAGGCCAAGAAAAUUUGUUAUAUGCAUUUGGUUUACCUUGGUUUUCUCCGCGAAAAGAGCUUGGGUUCUCUGUUGUGCAAGGAUACCUUGUAUUCUUAUAAUAAGUUCGUUCUCAGUUUUUCACAACUUCAUUCUAUCACGCGUCAGUAUGUGCUUAGUAUUUUUAUCUUUCAGCUGGUCAUUAUGAAGAAUGAGAAUUUCGUGGGUGGAGCUAGAAUUUUCAGUGGAUGUAAAUUGUCAAACCAAUAUGAAGCUAUAUAUAGAAGGUUCAGAUGGUUCUUAUAUCGAAACAAAUGAGCACACUGAUUUAGCUUCAUAGGACGAUCACUUGGUUUUUGUUAUAGCCAGACAGAGGAUAUAUUGGACCAUUUUCAAAGUCUACUAAAAACAAUCUAUUGCAUACAAAGCACAUUCAAAGCCAAAUUUUUUACAAACUUUCCCUUCUCUACAAUAGAACUUUUUUUCCCUCUAUUUUUCCAAAAUAAACCUAGAAAUACACAGAUAGAAAUAGUUAUAACAUACCUGAUAGAGGUAGUGAGGAGGAAUCCAACAUCAAGGAAAAAUAAGAUACAUAUUAUCUAGAUGUAAUACAAUUCUUUUGAUAUUGUUAUAUCAUCAAGGUGCCUUGAAAUACAUAAAUGGAAACAUUAAUAUACUUGAUGUCAGCAUCUCUUAGAGCUAACACAUAACCCCAAUCAGCACCGCAAGCACACAUGUAGUUACAACAACAGAUCAGAUGCAAACUAUAUCUAAAUUAAAAAAUUGCAUACGAAAUCUUAUAAAAGAAACUGAUUUAGGAAAAAUUUUCAAGGGUAUUCUCAGCAAGCUGUAAGAAGAGAAGUAGAGUUCAGAAGCUGGACUCAAACUGAAGCAAGCAAAUGUAGGUGACACCAAAUAAUCCACAAGUUAGUUUUCUUAUUUGGUGGAGAAACAUUAUAUCAUUUGUAAAAGUGCAUGAGAGAUUUUUUCUGCUGAAAUGGACAAAAACAAAAAGUAUAAAUUCCUAAAACCUAGAGUCAUUUUUAAUGCAAUAUAGAACAAUACUCUAUUGUAUUGAUGCAGAGGACUAACUGAUAACAUGACCAAACAAAUAACAAAAGCUCACUCCAAAGAUAUAUUAAUCCAGAAUCAACAAAUAGGCUCCAACCCGCUGCGCCAUGUUCUUUCCCUAAACCAAAAGAAAUGCAUGUCAUCUAGAGAAAUGUAACGGCUACUCUGGUUAUCCAUUUGGAAUUGGAACAAUUGGAAAGAAGAAUCUAGAAAAGCAGUGGCAAUAAUGAUGAAACACUUUUGAGCUAUUAAAUAAUAUUCUUGAUGAAAACUUGUGAAAAUGCCAAAAACAAAUGCGACAUACCUGAGUUUUUAACUUCUACAAUAAACUGUGCACUCAGACUAACACAUAGUUCAACUUCUAUUUUUCGAUUAUUGAGAUUGGAGAUGGAAUAAGUGUUUUCUAUCUCAAAGGACACAUCUAGAAGUGAUGGUCUUGAUAGGGUAUCCAAUUAUCACUACGAGUUGUAGAUAAAGAUCUCAAAGUAGCUAAGAUUUGAUAUUACUUAUAGAUAUAUUUCUCUUCUGCAAUCUGAAGUAAAUUUCCCGGUUGAAAUCAGGCGUGGAAUAUAGGAGGACAUAAGUCAUGCUUCUUUAGCCUUGGACAAAGUGCUCAAUUGUCUGAUAAUAAUACUACUUAUAAUUAUAUUAGCUCAUUGCGAAAUAGAUGUUGGAAUAACUGAUUUUUGGUAUAUAGUUGUGAUGACUUCAUUGGAUACUUCGUAAUAUUUGCUUUUUUCUAUGUUAGCCUCUUCAAAUUAUUUUGCUACUUUCCCUGACGACAUGGAUGAACAUGUGUCUCCCUUUGUGUAUAAGUUAUGUGUAAAAAUUGGUUAUUUACAUACAAGAACUAAUUUAGCAAAAUUUUGUUAUUCCACCAUCUCCGACAAAAGGUCAUUUACUUUUUUACUUGCUAAUUCUUCCUCUCGGUUCAUUAUGAAUUCUUAGAUGUGCAACAAUGAAAUCACAUAUCAGUCUAUAGAACCAAAAAAUCUCAGGUCUAUUGAUAGAAUUUCAACAUUUUCAUCUUGUCAUAUCAUUACUUUCAGCAAUUGAAUUGCUUAUGAACAGAGAUGGCAGCAUCAACUUCAGUGGAUUAAUUGUGACAUGUUGUGAUCAAGUUGAAGAGUACAUAUGUUGCUGAAGCUUUUCGAAAAAUAAUAGAUAUAAGCUCCCCCCCUACAAUUUCAUGGCAGUUAUCUUUGUUCUUUCUUUUUCAUUUCAUAUGUUAGAUUUAUAUACUAACUGAUGCAUUCCGUUGGUGUGUAAUAGGAGUUUAUGAAGUGUUGUUGGAAAUAAAUAAUGGUUGUCCAAGAAAGACUUGGAAGCCUAGAUUGUACCUUGGAGUAAAGAGUGCUUAGGGUCCUUUUGGAUUUCCAAGUGCAAUGAACAAAGCCAUAAGUGAAAAUGCAUUGUGGAACUUAGUUUGCUCUGCAAUACUGCGUGAUUUUUGUACAACAUGGAAAAAAUUGUUCAAGAACAAUGGAGGUACUAGAGUUUUAAAAAAAAAUGGUAGUUAACUGAGCUAAGAAACUAGAGUAAUUUAGAGAAUAUGUGUGAUAAAGUUUGGCAGGAAGCGGAAGAGAGACAUGGCUACUUGGUCUAUAUAUUUUAAUCUGUUCAAGAUGCAUAUUUAUGACUUUUUAAAGAUCUAUUUGGCCAUUGUAACAUUCAAGUUGGUU
RNAcentral lists this long non-coding RNA (2987 nucleotides) under Nicotiana tabacum (common tobacco). RNAcentral describes it as "long non-coding RNA (NTAB_LNC003694)". Lineage: Eukaryota; Viridiplantae; Streptophyta; Magnoliopsida; Solanales; Solanaceae. The record is from RNAcentral.